AACAUACUAUUUUUUAUUUUUUUUCAUUAUGUAAAUCAUUUUUAGAAUUAAUUUUGCUAAAAUAUUUUGUCACCCCUAAGACGACGCCCCCGGGCAUGCCUACCCGUCCCCCCCUGAAUAUAGGCGUGUGUGUGCGUAUGAAUGUUUUGUAAACAAUCGAGAUGCGAUGGAUUUAGUAAACGACGUCUUUAUGCUCAACCUGUCAGUCUAGUUCGGUUUUCUACCGUGUGCACAAAUAUACGUAUUACAAGCGUCGAGUAUUUACAAUUCGAUGGAACGAAAAAUGGAAAUCCUGAAAUUAAAUUAUGAUGAUGACGCUGCUGAUUGUCUGGCACCGAUGUGAACCAUCUGGGAUAACAUUGAAUAUUAUUAAAACAAUUUCCAAUAUCCGAUCCAGGUGCGGUCCCAAUUAGUUCGGAUAAAUUACAUACUAACAAAUUAUAUACUAUCCAUCAUAUUUUGGGUUUAAAACCUUCCCCCCCCCGCGGAUCCGCCACUGAUUCAUAAAUUCGUACGAUCAACCAUUAACCGAAUUAUCACGUCGUACGGGUACUUCGAUUUUACCGAUUUGUCGUACGAAAAAUUGUUAUCACGAACCGUUUUUGUUUACACGAAAUCGCGAGUAGGGCUGAAUGGUUUUCUUAUAAAUGGUCACGUUACGGUGUUUAUGGUGUUACGACAGUUGAUUAGCGCUGGCGAAGUCUGGCCGAGGUCCAGACGGAAUAUUUCUAAAUUUAAAUACUCAAGAUACCGGACGAACCCGGAGCGAUAUUGGUUUCGAGUGGGCACAUUCGUUUCGCUUCGGUCGCGUGUAACAUGUUUGUUUCGCAUGCGUUCGUCGUGUCGAUGUUCCUGUGCCGCGUUGUCGGGCAAGACGAGGACAACGUGCCACUAACCAUAGUUGGCCUGUUCGACGAGGAGAACACUGUCGAGCAACAGAUAUUCGAAUUGGCCGUCCAGAAGGUGAACAUAGACCCGAAUUUUUCCAAUGUAUUUUUGAAAGCCGAAAUCAAAAUUGUCGACUCGGCGGAUUCGUACAUAACUGGCCUGCAAACAUGCGAGAGUAUGGAGUCAGGAAUUGGUGCAGUAUUUGGUCCCUCUCACUUGGAAUCGUCAAAUAUAGUGCAAUCGUUGUGUGAAACUAUGGAAGUUCCACGAAUAGAAGCAAGUUGGGAAAACACUCCUGUUGAAAAUUUCAAUUAUUAUUUCAAUCCUUACCCCGAACCUACGUUAUUAGCAAAAGGUUACACGGCUAUUGUUCACGAUAUGGAUUGGAGGUCGUUCACGUUGUUGUAUCAACAUCCAGAGUGUCUUCAGAGAUUACAAGACUUGAUUCAAGACUACUCAGGCAAAACGAAACCGAACGACAAAUCAGUAGCGGCCAUCUCCAUUAUACAGCUGCCCGAGGGCAAUAAUUUUAGGCCGAUUUUGAAAGACAUCAAAAAAUCUCUGGAAGGCCACAUCGUCCUCGACUGCGACGCGGAAUUAAUAUACACGGUGUUCAAACAAGCGAAAGAAGUGAACUUGUUGGACGACUAUCACAGUUUUAUCAUUACCUCGUUGGACGCGCACACAGUAGACUUCAGCGGCGUCGUGCAAAAUAUACGUACAAACAUAACGACCGUGCGGCUGAUCGAUCCGUCGAACCCGGUCGUGGAGAACAUCGUGAAGGAUUUGAACUUCGUACAGCAACGAAUGAACUUGAACAUAGCUCCGUUGCAAGCCCACAAGCUGACCGUCAAUGCGAUUUUGAUAUACGACGCGGUGAACGUGUACGCCAAAGCGCUCGAGGGACUCGGUAAGACCAGAGUCACCGCGGAACCGUUACAAUGCAAGAGCUCACCAUUUGUCUCGUGGUCCAACGGGUUUAAACUUAUACAUUUCAUGAGGGUCAUCGAAACCGAAGGCUUGUCCGGUCUUAUGCGUUUCGACAAUAGAACCGGUCACCGAUCGUAUUUCACGCUGGACAUGGUCGAACUGGUUGACACGGGUUUUAAAAAAAUUGGCGUUUGGGAUCCGGAAAAAGGUAUGACCUAUACGAGGACCAGCGAAGAGAUGCUUCGUGAUCUAUACGUAGGAAGCAAGAACAAAACGUUUAUUGUCUCGUCGAAGAUCACAGAACCAUACUUGAUGCUUAAAGACGAUCACGCUAAACUAAUUGGCAAUGACAAGUAUGAAGGAUACGUGGUGGAUCUCAUAGCAAUGAUCGCUGAAGAAAUGAAUAUUACGUAUGAAAUUAAUUUGAGAAGUGAUGGAAAUGGAAAACGGGACAAAAAAACCAACAAAUGGAACGGGAUAAUUGGUGAAGUACAAGAAAUGAGAGCGGAUUUAGGUGUUUGUGAUUUAACUAUUACACACGAAAGAAGGUCUGCUGUGGAUUUUACAAUGCCUUUUAUGAACUUGGGCAUUAGCAUAUUGUUCAGUAAACCUGAGGAUCCGCAAACCAAUCUUUUCUCGUUCACCCAACCACUUUCAUUCCAAGUAUGGAUAUUCACUGCAACAGCUUACUUAGGUCUGUCUCUAGUAUUGUUUUUCUUGGCCAGAAUCACACCUAACGAAUGGCAAAACCCUCAUCCAUGUAAUCCUCAUCCGGAAGAAUUAGAGAAUUCCCUUUCGUUGCUUAACUGCUUAUGGUUCUCAAUGGGCUCUAUUCUUUGUCAAGGUAGUGACAUCCUGCCCAGAGCGUUUCCGACCAGACUGUGCGCUGCUAUGUGGUGGUUUUUCGCUCUGAUAAUGACUCAAUCUUAUACUGCCAACUGGACGGCUUUUUUGACAUCGAAUCGAAUGGAAACUCCCAUAAAAAAUGUUGAAGAUCUCGACAAAAAAGGAGGCUUAGGAAACGAUGAUGGAAUCAAAUACGGAUGCGUCACUGAUCAAUCUACCGCCAGUUUUUUUCAAAACUCCGAUGUAAAUUUGUACCAGAAAAUGUGGAGUGCCAUGGAAUCAUAUGGCGAUUCGGUAAUGGUAUCGGACAACAAGCAAGGGGUGGAUAGGGUGAAAAAAGAAAGAAAUCAUUAUGCUUUUUUUAUGGAAUCCAGUUCUAUCGAAUACGAAGUGCAACGGAAUUGCGAUCUUACGGAGGUGGGAUAUUGGCUGGACAACAAGGCGUAUGGUAUCGCUAUGCCGUUCAAUGCUCCGCACAGGACCGCUGUAAAUUUGGCGGUAUUGAAGCUAUCAGAAUCGGGAGCGUUGAUGGCACUAAAGAACAAAUGGUGGUCAGUGUCUGACGACAAAAAGUGUAAGGAUUCAAAAAAAGAUACAGCUGAACUUGACGUUAAUGAAGUUGGUGGUAUGUUUGUAAUUUUAAUACUUGGCUGUCUGAUAGCAUUCUUGUUCUCUAUACUUGAAUUUUUAUGGAACAUAAGAAAAGUGGCUGUUGAAGAAAAGGUUUAGGCAGUCGAGGAGGAUUUCUGCGAUGUUUUCUUCGUAUUGGUAUACUACGACUAAACAUUUGACCCUCUUGGAAGCGUUCAUGGUGGAGUUGAAGUUCGUGCUCAAAUGUCACGGAACGUCCAAACCAGUGAGACACGUAGAAGACAGUUC
Sipha flava (yellow sugarcane aphid) is the source of this 3543-nucleotide RNA transcript. It is a transcript of the gene named glutamate receptor ionotropic, kainate 2-like, with no coding region annotated. The record is from RefSeq and is a predicted model, not a curated record. The transcript has 17 exons. Lineage: Eukaryota; Metazoa; Arthropoda; Insecta; Hemiptera; Aphididae.